AUUAGCUAUGUAUAUAAAUAAAUAGGUUGUAUUAGGGUUUCAUGGUGAAGUGAAAUAUAGAUCUUUUCUCCCUCAUCUCUUCUCUCUCUCUCUCUUUCUUUAAAGUGGCAGCCCCAGGUUCGAUGAAGCCCUAAAAGAAGGGGGUGCCUCCCUCAAGCCCAUAAAGGCGGGUGCCCCAUCACAGAUUCGAGUGGUGGAUCUAUGGUUGCUGCCUUCAAGUGUAUAGAUCUAUCACAUAUCUUUUUAGGUUUUUUAGAGUAAUAUCCAGGUCCAUGUGGGUGAUCUAGGGGUUUUCACAAC
This 300-nucleotide long non-coding RNA is filed under the name Elaeis guineensis (African oil palm). Its description in RNAcentral is "long non-coding RNA (EGUI_LNC020944)". Lineage: Eukaryota; Viridiplantae; Streptophyta; Magnoliopsida; Arecales; Arecaceae. The record is from RNAcentral.